GACGAACGCUGGCGGCGUGCCUAAUACAUGCAAGUAGAACGCUGAAGGAAGGAGCUUGCUCUUUCUGGAUGAGUUGCGCACGGGUGAGUAACGCGUAGGUAACCUGCCUGGUAGCGGGGGAUAACUAUUGGAAACGAUAGCUAAUACCGCAUAAAAUUGAUUAUUGCAUGAUAGUCAAUUAAAAGGUGCAACUGCACCACUACCAGAUGGACCUGCGUUGUAUUAGCUAGUUGGUGGGGUAACGGCUCACCAAGGCGACGAUACAUAGCCGACCUGAGAGGGUGAUCGGCCACACUGGGACUGAGACACGGCCCAGACUCCUACGGGAGGCAGCAGUAGGGAAUCUUCGGCAAUGGACGGAAGUCUGACCGAGCAACGCCGCGUGAGUGAAGAAGGUUUUCGGAUCGUUAAGCUCUGUUGUAAGAGAAGAACGAGUGUGAGAGUGGAAAGUUCACAAUGUGACGGUAUCUUACCAGAAAGGGACGGCUAACUACGUG
RNAcentral lists this ribosomal RNA (497 nucleotides) under uncultured bacterium. RNAcentral's name for it is "partial 16S ribosomal RNA". It matches the Rfam family "Bacterial small subunit ribosomal RNA", at positions 28 to 507 of the family's 1533-position model. The record is from RNAcentral.